ACUCAAGUGCAUGUGUGACUUUUUGAGAAGAAACCACACAAGGCUGUUGGUUAGCAAUCACCAUGUAAAAGGGUUUGCAGAAACCAGACAGAGAGCCUGUGUGGAGAUGCUAUUGGCUGCCCAGGUUGGACUGCCUCCAACCUGAGGUGGUCUUGGAGUGAUCUAACAAAAGAGUGAAUGAUUAUGCUAGGAAUCAGACAAAGACUGGUGGACAGUUUGGUAAAGUGAAGCCAAAUAUGGAGAUUGUGCUGGCAGCCAUGAGGGACAAGGCCAAGCAUUGGGUCCAUGGCCAGGAGACAGAGACUGGGGCAUCUGAGCAACUGCUUUCAAAUAAGGCAGCCUGCUUCUGGACAUGGGAAAGCCAGAGGAGGAAAAGGAGGUUGAGGCGGAGCCUCAAGCUAAUCUGGGGCACCAUUGCCAUCCAGGGUAGAUGGGGUCUAGUUGAUUGUGUAGGACGC
Long non-coding RNA from Lytechinus pictus (painted urchin), 458 nucleotides. RefSeq lists it as uncharacterized. The transcript is spliced from 4 exons. Lineage: Eukaryota; Metazoa; Echinodermata; Echinoidea; Temnopleuroida; Toxopneustidae. The record is from RefSeq and is a predicted model, not a curated record.